CAGCAGCCGCGGGAAUACGAAGGGUGCAAGCGUUACUCGGAAUUACUGGGCGUAAAGCGUGUGUAGGUGGUUGUUUAAGUCUGUCGUGAAAGCCCUGGGCUCAACCUGGGAAUUGCGAUGGAUACUGGGCGACUAGAGUGCGGUAGAGGAUAGUGGAAUUUCCGGCGUAGCAGUGAAAUGCGUAGAGAUCGGAAGGAACAUCUGUGGCGAAGGCGACUAUCUGGGCCAACACUGACACUGAGACACGAAAGCGUGGGGAGCAAACGGGAUUAGAUACCCCAGUAGUCCCUGUCUCUUAUAC
Molecule: ribosomal RNA, 301 nt
Filed under: uncultured bacterium
Lineage: Bacteria
Description: partial 16S ribosomal RNA
Rfam family: Bacterial small subunit ribosomal RNA
Source: RNAcentral